GCCGGGCGUGGUGGCGCACGCCUGUAAUCCCAGCUACUCAGGAGGCUGAGGCAGGAGAAUCGCUUGAACCCGGGAGGUGGAGCUUGCAGUGAGCUGAGAUCAUGCCAUUCCACUCCAGCCUGGGUGACAGGGCAAGACUCUGUCUCAA
RNAcentral lists this non-coding RNA (148 nucleotides) under Nomascus leucogenys (northern white-cheeked gibbon). The record is from Rfam by way of RNAcentral. Lineage: Eukaryota; Metazoa; Chordata; Mammalia; Primates; Hylobatidae.